RNAcentral lists this unclassified non-coding RNA (433 nucleotides) under soil metagenome. RNAcentral describes it as "partial contains 5.8S ribosomal RNA, internal transcribed spacer 2, and large subunit ribosomal RNA". The stretch from base 1 to 120 matches the Rfam family "5.8S ribosomal RNA", at positions 35 to 154 of the family's 154-position model. The record is from RNAcentral.
GAUGAAGAACGCAGCGAAAUGCGAUACGUAAUGUGAAUUGCAGAAUUCAGUGAAUCAUCGAAUCUUUGAACGCAUAUUGCGCUCUCUGGUAUUCCGGAGAGCAUGCUUGUUUGAGUAUCAGUAAACACCUCAACUUCCAUAUCUUUUUUGAAAUGGGAGUUGGACUUGAGUGAUCCCAACGCUUUUCCUCACCGAAAAGUGCCGGGUUACUUGAAAUGCAGGUGCAGCUGGACUUUUCUCUGAGCUAUAAGCAUAUCUAUUUAGUCUGCCUAAAAAACAGAUUAUUACCUUUGCUGCAGCUAACAUAAAGGAGAUUAGUUCUUGUGCUGACUGAUGCAGGAUUCACAAAGACAGGCUUCGGCCGACUUUGUAAACUCGAUCUCAAAUCAAGUAAGACUACCCGCUGAACUUAAGCAUAUCAAUAAGCGGAGGA